GGUGAACCCGUGCACUACAGGGUCCAGUUGCAUAAAGCCCCGAAUUUCGGGGUUUUUUGUUAUUAGUCAAUAGAGAUACUGGGCGUUAUGCCCUUUUUUU
Providencia rettgeri is the source of this 100-nucleotide non-coding RNA. The record is from Rfam. Lineage: Bacteria; Pseudomonadati; Pseudomonadota; Gammaproteobacteria; Enterobacterales; Morganellaceae.